RNAcentral lists this ribosomal RNA (494 nucleotides) under uncultured bacterium. Its description in RNAcentral is "partial 16S ribosomal RNA". It matches the Rfam family "Bacterial small subunit ribosomal RNA", at positions 28 to 507 of the family's 1533-position model. The record is from RNAcentral.
GACGAACGCUGGCGGCGUGCUUAACACAUGCAAGUCGAACGGAAAGGCCUGCUUUCCCUUGUGGAUUGCGGGUACUCGAGUGGCGAACGGGUGAGUAACACGUGAGUGAUCUGCCCCCAACUUGGGUAUAAGCCUGGGAAACUGGGUCUAAUUCCCGAUAGGACUGCAGGGUGGUGCCUGUGGCGGAACACGAUUUUCUAGUGGUUGGGGAUGAGCUCGCGGCCUAUCAGCUUGUUGGUGGGGUAAUGGCCUACCAAGGCGGCGACGGGUAGCCGGCCUGAGAGGGUGGACGGCCACAUUGGGACUGAGAUACGGCCCAGACUCCUACGGGAGGCAGCAGUGGGGAAUAUUACACAAUGGGCGGAAGCCUGAUGCAGCGACGCCGCGUGGGGGAUGACGGCCUUCGGGUGGUAAACUCCUUUCGACCGCGAGGAAGCCACCUGGUUGGAAGGGUGGUGACGGUAGUGGUAGAAGAAGCACCGGCUAACUACGUG